This is a long non-coding RNA of Pectinophora gossypiella (pink bollworm), 470 nucleotides long. RefSeq lists it as uncharacterized. Lineage: Eukaryota; Metazoa; Arthropoda; Insecta; Lepidoptera; Gelechiidae. The record is from RefSeq and is a predicted model, not a curated record. The transcript is spliced from 3 exons.
UUAAAAGAGCAGUGAAAUUAUUUAAACCACACGAAGCUUUUGAUCCAAGAACGCUUGAGAAUGAUAUAGCUUUUAUAUAUAUCGCAGAACCCUUACCGUUAGGGAAAAGAAUCAAAAGAGUCGUAAUCAAGAGUAACUUUCCAGUGGUCGCAUCAGCCUUCAUGAGUGGUUGGGGAAUGAUUGACGAUUAUACAAGAGAAACUAGUCAGAUACUAAGAGCAGCAAGGCAAAAAUUUAUAACUGCAGAAGCUUGUGCCAAAUACGUUAGGGUAUUCGACGGAUUGAUGUGUGCCGGAUAUGAAGAUUCCUAUAAACCUAGGCCUUCAGGAGGUGAUUCUGGGAGUGCUCUGAUGCUGAACUAUCAACAAAUAGGUAUUGUCUCCUUUAUCAACCCUUACUACACCGGGGUUAUCUUUUACACAAAUGUUUCAUAUUUCUAUCCUUGGAUCAAAAAAACUGUCAAUUCGACG